AUUAGUAUUUGGCGCGAAUGAAUUUUGUGAAUGGACUCAUAUUAUUUUUCCGUAAAAAUAUACAUUUAUUUGAUGAUUAUUUAAAAAAAUAAUCUUAAAAAAGUAUUUCUAAAAAUUUUAAGUAUAUUCAUGGUUGCUAUCAGUCCCAUGGUGAUUCAAAACUGGAAUUCGUGGUGGAGAAUGAACUGGUUGAGGGUACGGUGAAUCAAUGACUUCCGUUGCAAUAGGAGCAUUGUUUAAAAUCGGAUAAUCAUCAUUGACUUCCUUAUACUUCUCGCAAAAUGAUGGUGAAUUUAUUGGAGACGUCACUUGUCUAGAUGUUAUAACUGAUGAUAAUGAUGAUGAAGCAUCAACGGAAGAUGAAACUGGAACAUUUUGAUGAGUGUUUAUGUCAGACUUUCCUUGAGAGGCAGAUGCUCCCUUCAUUGAUUUCACCUAUUGCAAUCCAGUGGCAAGAUGACGAGCCAAUUUUUCUCCAGACUCUCCAGGAAGUGACGCGAGAUAUUUGCAUGCUUCGGCUGCACAGUGCCCGAAUCCAGAUUGCCAUCGACUCUCAGCUACUGCAUCUUCAUUUGAGAUUGUGGAAGAUAAUCCAGACGGUCUAGAUGCUUGGAGCCUUUGAAGGUGACGUACGUUCUCGAUACUGGAUGAGGAUAAUCAUACGCCAUCAUCGCAAAUUAAACUUAAAAAAAAAUCUUGAUAUUCACAAUCACACUUGGCUUCACUGUGUCAAUGUCAAGCUCCAACCGGAUAAGUGGAUGAAUAAAAAGAC
Chelonus insularis is the source of this 772-nucleotide long non-coding RNA. RefSeq lists it as uncharacterized. The transcript has 4 exons. NCBI's taxonomy places the organism in Eukaryota, Metazoa, Arthropoda, Insecta, Hymenoptera, Braconidae. The record is from RefSeq and is a predicted model, not a curated record.